GGUCCCACCAGAGGCCGCGCGAUUCGCACGACAGCACGCGCGCGUCGAGGUCGAUAACACACCACGCCGCACUUGCCCGGCUGUCGCCGGCUCUCUCGCGCGUUGGCGUCGGUCUCUGUGCGUCGCUGUCGUCGCCGGUGUUGUUGUCAUUGUCGUGCACGAUGGCGAUGGCGCGCGGCACGGCUACCAUCGGCUGCCACAGGGCCGCCAGUUCCUGGACCAUGGACGUCGCGCCGCGCAACUGCGCGGGGCCGGCGUCGGUGGCAUCUUCCGGCGCGUCGGCGAGCCCGACGGCUCUGGCGACGCGCUCCAUGGCGAUCGUGAUGGCCUUUAUCAUAUAGUCACCCCGACAAGCGAGAU
This 360-nucleotide long non-coding RNA is filed under the name Pandoravirus salinus. RNAcentral's name for it is "putative ncRNA". The record is from RNAcentral.